CAGCGGCAGCGUACACAUGCAAGUCGAGCGGAAACGAUGGAGCUUGCUCCAGGCGUCGAGCGGCGGACGGGUGAGUAAUGCAUAGGAAUCUGCCCGGUAGUGGGGGAUAACCUGGGGAAACCCAGGCUAAUACCGCAUACGUCCUACGGGAGAAAGCAGGGGAUCUUCGGACCUUGCGCUAUCGGAUGAGCCUAUGUCGGAUUAGCUUGUUGGUGAGGUAAUGGCUCACCAAGGCGACGAUCCGUAGCUGGUCUGAGAGGAUGAUCAGCCACAUCGGGACUGAGACACGGCCCGAACUCCUACGGGAGGCAGCAGUGGGGAAUAUUGGACAAUGGGCGAAAGCCUGAUCCAGCCAUGCCGCGUGUGUGAAGAAGGCUUUCGGGUUGUAAAGCACUUUCAGUGAGGAAGAAAGCCUUGGGGCUAAUACCCCCGAGGAAAGACAUCACUCACAGAAGAAGCACCGGCUAACUCCGUGCCAGCAGCCGCGGUAAUACGGAGGGUGCGAGCGUUAAUCGGAAUUACUGGGCGUAAAGCGCGCGUAGGCGGCGUGAUAAGCCGGUUGUGAAAGCCCCGGGCUCAACCUGGGAACGGCAUCCGGAA
RNAcentral lists this ribosomal RNA (600 nucleotides) under Halomonas ventosae. Its description in RNAcentral is "bacterial SSU rRNA". It matches the Rfam family "Bacterial small subunit ribosomal RNA", at positions 37 to 632 of the family's 1533-position model. The record is from RNAcentral. Lineage: Bacteria; Pseudomonadati; Pseudomonadota; Gammaproteobacteria; Oceanospirillales; Halomonadaceae.